This is a transfer RNA of Fistulina hepatica ATCC 64428, 85 nucleotides long. It matches the Rfam family "tRNA". From Rfam's summary of the family: Transfer RNA (tRNA) molecules are approximately 80 nucleotides in length. Their secondary structure includes four short double-helical elements and three loops (D, anti-codon, and T loops). The record is from Rfam. Lineage: Eukaryota; Fungi; Basidiomycota; Agaricomycetes; Agaricales; Fistulinaceae.
GUCCCCUUAGUGCAAUGGUUAGCACGUCAGACUUCUAUGAAUUAAUAAUAUCUGAAGGUUGCGAGUUCGAGUCUCGCAGGGGAUA